This 253-nucleotide ribosomal RNA is filed under the name uncultured bacterium. RNAcentral describes it as "partial 16S ribosomal RNA". It matches the Rfam family "Bacterial small subunit ribosomal RNA", at positions 524 to 776 of the family's 1533-position model. The record is from RNAcentral.
UACGGAGGGUGCGAGCGUUGUCCGGAAUCACUGGGCGUAAAGGGCGCGUAGGCGGCCUGAUAAGUAGGGGGUGAAAUCUUGCGGCUUAACCGCAAAGCUGCCUUCUAAACUGUCAGGCUCGAGCACAGUAGAGGCAGGUGGAAUUCCCGGUGUAGCGGUGGAAUGCGUAGAGAUCGGGAAGAACAUCAGUGGCGAAGGCGGCCUGCUGGGCUGUUGCUGACGCUGAGGCGCGACAGCGUGGGGAGCAAACAGG